GCGCCCUUAGCUCAGUUGGAUAGAGCAACAGCCUUCUAAGCUGUGGGUCAGUGGUUCGAAUCCACUAGGGCGCGCCA
RNAcentral lists this transfer RNA (77 nucleotides) under Alphaproteobacteria bacterium. RNAcentral's name for it is "tRNA-Arg". It matches the Rfam family "tRNA". Rfam says of the family: Transfer RNA (tRNA) molecules are approximately 80 nucleotides in length. Their secondary structure includes four short double-helical elements and three loops (D, anti-codon, and T loops). Lineage: Bacteria; Pseudomonadati; Pseudomonadota; Alphaproteobacteria. RNAcentral also lists the same sequence under 2 other names. The record is from RNAcentral.